This 943-nucleotide ribosomal RNA is filed under the name uncultured archaeon. Its description in RNAcentral is "bacterial SSU rRNA". It matches the Rfam family "Archaeal small subunit ribosomal RNA", at positions 1 to 922 of the family's 1478-position model. The record is from RNAcentral.
UCCGGUUGAUCCUGCCGGACCCUACUGCUAUCGGGGUGGGACUAAAACAUGCUAGUCAAACGUCUCCAAGCCAUGGAAGAGACGUGGCAAAAAGCUCAGUAACACGUGGCCAACCUAACCUUGAGACAGGAACAACCCCGGGAAACUGGGGACAAUUCCAGAUAGGCGAGGAACCCUGGAAUGGGUCCUCACCCAAAAGACAUCCAAACCACGCACAAGAUGUCGCUCAAGGAUGGAGCCGCGACCGAUCAGGUAGUUGGUAGGACAAAGGCCUACCAAGCCCAUAACCGGUACGGGCCGUGAGAGCGGGAGCCCGGAGAUGGGAACUGAGACAAGGUCCCAGGCCCUACGGGGCGCAGCAGUUACGAAAACUCCGCAAUGCACGAAAGUGUGACGGGGCUACCCCGAGUGCCGUCCGCUGAGGAUGGCUUUUCCACGCCGUAAGGAAGCGUGGGAAUAAGGAGAGGGCAAGUCUGGUGUCAGCCGCCGCGGUAAAACCAGCUCUCCGAGUGGUAGGGACGAUUAUUGGGCUUAAAGCGUCCGUAGCCGGCCUAACAAGUCUCUCGUCAAAUCCAACGAUCCAAUCGCUGGACCGCGGGAGAUACUGCCAGGCUAGGAGGCGGGAGAGGCCGACGGUACUCUUGGGGUAGGGGUGAAAUCCUGUAAUCCCAGGAGGACCACCAGUGGCGAAGGCUGUCGGCUGGCACGCGCUCGACGGUGAGGGACGAAAGCUUGGGGAGCGAACCGGAUUAGAUACCCGGGUAGUCCAAGCUGUAAACGAUGCGGGCUAGGUGUUGGGGUGGCUACGGGCCACUUCAGUGCCGCAGCGAAGGCAUUAAGCCCGCCGCCUGGGGAGUACGGCCGCAAGGCUGAAACUUAAAGGAAUUGGCGGGGGAGCACCACAAGGGGUGAAGCUUGCGGUUUAAUUGGAGUCAACGCCGGA